Long non-coding RNA from Eptesicus fuscus (big brown bat), 556 nucleotides. RefSeq lists it as uncharacterized. The transcript is spliced from 4 exons. NCBI's taxonomy places the organism in Eukaryota, Metazoa, Chordata, Mammalia, Chiroptera, Vespertilionidae. The record is from RefSeq and is a predicted model, not a curated record.
AAUAUUUUUAAAAUAUGCAGUAUAUAGAAUUAAACAGUUUGAAGAAUUCUUCAGAUAGGAUUGAUUGAACUGGUAAAUUACUUUACUGUCUUUGCCGACUUUUGCGAAGCCUUUGUAUGUAAUAAAGCCGACGUUGUUACAUUGAUAGAUGCAAAUCUACUGCUUUGAUGUGGACCAAUGCUCAAGGUUUAAGGAAGCAGUUAAAGGAAAAGGGAAGAUAAGAGCUUACCCGUUCCAUUUGAGGUUGUAAUAGAAAAAAAUUUGGAUUACCAAGCAAUCAUUGAUGGAGUCGGGAAUGUUAGUCACUUUGGUCGCCUGGGAACAGGAGCUUCCUCACUCCUGUGUUCCACGUCGGCAGGGAGUGUCCGUGGCAACGCACAAAGGAGGCCUCUCCACGCCUUCCUGACGACGGUCCUUGGGUUUGCAAGAGGGUGGCAGGAGCCGUGGCAGGUGUUCCUGUUCAGUCAUCACAAUCACAUCGCCAACAGUGGCUGCAGGAGUCUGGAGGAUGAAAAUAGAGGUUGCUUGGGGCGAUGGCUCAAGAUGCAGUGAGCAG